Molecule: transfer RNA, 76 nt
Filed under: bacterium
Lineage: Bacteria
Also listed under: 2 other names
Description: tRNA-His
Rfam family: tRNA
About the family: Transfer RNA (tRNA) molecules are approximately 80 nucleotides in length.
Source: RNAcentral
GUGGAUGUAGCUCAGCCGGUAGAGCCCCGGAUUGUGACUCCGGUGGUCGCAGGUUCAAACCCUGUCAUCCACCCCA